RNAcentral lists this ribosomal RNA (517 nucleotides) under uncultured bacterium. RNAcentral describes it as "bacterial SSU rRNA". It matches the Rfam family "Bacterial small subunit ribosomal RNA", at positions 24 to 577 of the family's 1533-position model. The record is from RNAcentral.
UCAGAUUGGACGCGGCGGCAUGCUUAACACAUNCAAGUCGAACGUGAAGGCACUUCGGUGUGAGUAGAGUGGCGGACGGGUGAGUAACGCGUGGGAAUCUACCCAGUAGUGGGGGACAACUACCGGAAACGGUAGCUAAUACGGCAUACGCCCUAUGGGGGAAAGGCUUCGGCCGCUAUUGGAUGAGCCCGCGUCAGAUUAGCUAGUUGGUAGGGCAAAGGCCUACCAAGGCAACGAUCUGUAGCUGGUCUGAGAGGACGAACAGCCACACUGGGACUGAGACACGGCCCAGACUCCUACGGGAGGCAGCAGUGGGGAAUAUUGGACAAUGGGCGAAAGCCUGAUCCAGCAAUGCCGCGUGUGUGAAGAAGGCCUGCGGGUUGUAAAGCACUUUCAGUUGGGAAGAUGAUGACGUUACCAACAGAAGAAGCACCGGCUAAAUCCGUGCCAGCAGCCGCGGUAAUACGGAUGGUGCGAGCGUUAAUCGGAAUUACUGGGCGUAAAGCGCGCGUAGGCG